This 253-nucleotide ribosomal RNA is filed under the name uncultured bacterium. Its description in RNAcentral is "partial 16S ribosomal RNA". It matches the Rfam family "Bacterial small subunit ribosomal RNA", at positions 524 to 776 of the family's 1533-position model. The record is from RNAcentral.
UACGUAGGGGGCAAGCGUUAUCCGGAUUUACUGGGUGUAAAGGGAGCGUAGACGGCAGUGCAAGUCUGAAGUGAAAGGCAAGGGCUCAACCCUUGGACUGCUUUGGAAACUGUGCUGCUGGAGUGUCGGAGAGGCAAGUGGAAUUCCUAGUGUAGCGGUGAAAUGCGUAGAUAUUAGGAGGAACACCAGUGGCGAAGGCGGCUUGCUGGACGAUGACUGACGUUGAGGCUCGAAGGCGUGGGGAGCAAACAGG